RNAcentral lists this long non-coding RNA (270 nucleotides) under Lathyrus oleraceus (garden pea). RNAcentral describes it as "Pisum sativum (pea) long non-coding RNA (PSAT_LNC017286)". Lineage: Eukaryota; Viridiplantae; Streptophyta; Magnoliopsida; Fabales; Fabaceae. The record is from RNAcentral.
AUCUCUCCUCCUUCUUCAAUUAAACCUUCAUAAAAAAUAAUUUCUGCACAUACAACAUCACCAAUAAACUUCACUUUACAAACAACAACAAAAGCCAUCACCAUAAUCUCUAUUCCAUGAGCAAACAACAACAACAACUACUACAACAAACAAUACUACAAAAGGAAGAGUCAAAAAUAGAGAAGAAGAUGUUGGAAAUCCACCACAACCUAUGGAGAAUUUCUAUCAAUCUUGAUGAACAAGAUUUUUUAUCACCCACACAAUAACAAU